CAGGCCUAACACAUGCAAGUCGAACGGUGCGUAGCAAUACGCAUAGUGGCGCACGGGUGCGUAACACGUAACUAACCUGCCCAUCCCUGGGGGAUAGCCCGCCGAAAGGCGGAUUAAUACCGCAUAAGAUAAUAAGGUGGCAUCACCUAGUUAUUAAAGAUUUAUCGGGGAUGGAUGGGGUUGCGGGUCAUUAGCUAGUUGGUAAGGUAAUGGCUUACCAAGGCGACGAUGACUAGGGGAGCUGAGAGGCUGGUCCCCCACACGGGCACUGAGAUACGGGCCCGACUCCUACGGGAGGCAGCAGUAGGGAAUAUUGGGCAAUGGGCGAGAGCCUGACCCAGCCAUGCCGCGUGCAGGACGAAGGCUUUCUGAGUCGUAAACUGCUUUUGACAGGGAAGAAUAAGGUGUACGUGUACACUGAUGACGGUACCUGCAGAAUAAGCACCGGCUAACUCCGUGCCAGCAGCCGCGGUAAU
This 476-nucleotide ribosomal RNA is filed under the name uncultured bacterium. Its description in RNAcentral is "bacterial SSU rRNA". It matches the Rfam family "Bacterial small subunit ribosomal RNA", at positions 43 to 524 of the family's 1533-position model. The record is from RNAcentral.